RNAcentral lists this transfer RNA (20 nucleotides) under Carinigera liebegottae. RNAcentral describes it as "Sericata liebegottae partial tRNA-Met". Lineage: Eukaryota; Metazoa; Mollusca; Gastropoda; Stylommatophora; Clausiliidae. The record is from RNAcentral.
AAUGGUUUUACCUCCUUAGA